Molecule: long non-coding RNA, 706 nt
Organism: Oncorhynchus tshawytscha (Chinook salmon)
Lineage: Eukaryota; Metazoa; Chordata; Actinopteri; Salmoniformes; Salmonidae
Source: Ensembl
GGGGGAGUGUGUUUGGAAGGAAGAGUGUGUUUGGGGGAGUGUGUUUGGAAGGAAGAGUGUGUUUGGGAGGAGUGUGUUUGGAAGGAAGAGUGUGUUUGGGGGAGUGUGUUUGGGAGGAAGAGUGUGUUUGGGAGGAGUGUGUUUGGGGGGGAGAGUGUGUUUGGGGGAGUGUGUUUGGAAGGAAGAGUGUGUUUGGGGGGAGAGUGUUUGGGAGGAAGAGUGUGUUUGGGGGAGUGUGUUUGGGAGGAAGAGUGUGUUUGGGGGGAGAGUGUUUGGGAGGAAGAGUGUGUUUGGGGGAGUGUGUUUGGAAGGAAGAGUGUGUUUGGGAGGAGUGUGUUUGGGAGGAAGAGUGUGUUUGGGGGAGAAGUGUGUUUGGGGGGAGUGUGUUUGGAAGGAAGAGUGUGUUUGGGGGAGAUGUGUUUGGGAGGAAGAGUGUGUUUGGGAGGAGUGUGUUUGGGAGGAAGAGUGUGUUUGGGGGAGAGUGUUUGGGAGGAAGAGUGUGUUUGGGAGGAGUGUGUUUGGGAGGGGGGAGAGUGUGUUUGGGAGGAGUGUGUUUGGGAGGAAGAGUGUGUUUGGGAGGGGGAGAGUGUGUUUGGGAGGAGUGUGUUUGGGAGGAAGGGUGUGUUUGGGGGGGGGGAGAGUGUGUUUGGGAGGAGUGUGUUUGGGAGGAAGAGUGUGUUUGGGAGGGGGAGAGUGUGUUUGGGAG